RNAcentral lists this long non-coding RNA (769 nucleotides) under Bos mutus (wild yak). RNAcentral describes it as "lncRNA (ENSBMUG00000023704.1)". Lineage: Eukaryota; Metazoa; Chordata; Mammalia; Artiodactyla; Bovidae. The record is from RNAcentral.
CUUGCUUUUCAAGCCCCUGAUGGAAAAGGAAUCCCAUCAGCUCCUCCCAGGAGUCAUUAUGAAUCUAUUCAGUGGACCAUCUCUACCGCCACACAAAGUGUACAGAUGAACAAUACAAAAUUCUGUCUACUGGAAAUACUUCCCUUUAGGAAUUUCAGGCUGACACAAAUGGGGCUAGAGUGUAGCAGCUAUCUGCUCCUGGAUGGGGUCAACAUCCAUCAAAAAGACAGUUCACCGAGGACAGGUAGUGCGUCAUUGGAAGGACUGAUGCUGAAGCUGAAACUCCAAUACUUUGGCCACCUCCUGUGAAGAACUGACUCAUUUGAAAAGACCUUGAUGUUGGGAAAGAUUGAAGGCAGGAGGAGAAGGGGGCAACAGAGAAUAAGAUGGUUGGAUGGCAUCACCAACUCAAUGGACAUGAGUUUGAGCAAGCUCUAAGAUUUGGAGAUGGACAGGGAGGCUUUGCGUGCUGCAGUCCAUGGGGUCACAAAGAGUUGGACACGACUGAGUGACUGAACUGAGAGACAGAUAUACAGAACAAACGUAUGGACAGGUAGUGCUCUAGACUCUAAAUGUCUCUAAGGGCAGUUUUUAAUUUAUUCCAUGUGGAAAUGCAUGAGAAGACCCUGAGCCUGAUAGAAUGCUUUCGCAUAUGAUAGACAUUCAGUUAAUAUUUGGUAAUGAUGAUGGAUUUUAGGCCAAAUAUGUUUUGAGAGUUGAAGUCUUCUUGUGAACAAGAGUAAUAAAAAUGAUGAACCUUUAUUAAUCA